AGUGAACGCUGGCGGUAGGCCUAACACAUGCAAGUCGAACGGCAGCACAGUAAGAGCUUGCUCUUACGGGUGGCGAGUGGCGGACGGGUGAGGAAUACAUCGGAAUCUACUUUUUCGUGGGGGAUAACGUAGGGAAACUUACGCUAAUACCGCAUACGACCUACGGGUGAAAGCAGGGGAUCUUCGGACCUUGCGCGAUUGAAUGAGCCGAUGUCGGAUUAGCUAGUUGGCGGGGUAAAGGCCCACCAAGGCGACGAUCCGUAGCUGGUCUGAGAGGAUGGUCAGCCGCCUGGGAAGGUGACCAGCGACCAUGCGACUGAGGGGGGGACCAGUUGGGAAUGGUAGGCAAUAGGGGGGAGUCUUGCACAACCAUCCCGAGUCGGAUGAAGAAGCCCUCCGGGUGUGAAGACCUUUUUUUGGGAAAAAAAAGCAGUCGGCUGAGACCCCGCGUGUCUGACGGUAACCGAAAAAGAAGCACCGGCUAACUUCGUG
This 492-nucleotide ribosomal RNA is filed under the name uncultured bacterium. Its description in RNAcentral is "partial 16S ribosomal RNA". It matches the Rfam family "Bacterial small subunit ribosomal RNA", at positions 29 to 507 of the family's 1533-position model. The record is from RNAcentral.